GGGGUGGGGCCUCCAGAAGUUCACGCCAUUUGCAGCGGGGAGGAGCCUGUUCCUGUGUGGCGACCUGGGCUUCAAUCUGUGAGGCGGGAAACCUGCUAGCAGGACUCUUGCUUUGUGGUCUCCUGUGAGAAGAACAUACCCCAGGUAGCCUCUUCUUUGAGAAGCACAAGGAAACACGUGGUGGUGGAACUGAACACAACCCACAGCCUGGAGCUAAACCCAACCUAAGCCAGCCAAGCUCUUCCAAGAUCACCCAAACUCAAGUUGACCUGUAGAUCCAUGGGCAAGGAAAGAAAUGCCUGCUGUUUUAAGAUCUCAAGUUUUAGGUUGAUUUGUUAUGCAGCAUUAUUGCAGUAAAAAUGAACUAAUACACUACCUAAUCCCAUUUUUCUAUUCAACAGUUAUUUGUUGGGUAGCUGAUAUGUGCCACACACUUAUAAUACAGGCUUCAGGGAUACCAUGGUUAAUAAAAUAAAGAGGGCAAAAGUAAAUGAACAAGAUAAUUUUGCAUUUUGACAAAUGCUAGGGAUAAGACAAGAUGAGUGAUGUGAUAAAUUGUGGUGGGGCUGUGGAAGAGGGCACAUUUAAUUUGGAUGGUCAGAGAGAGCCUCCUCUGGAAGGAAACAUUUGAAUGAGAUGAAUAACAAGGGCGAGGCUGCUAGAGGAUGAUCCAGCCACAGUGCAUUCCUGCAGAAGAGCCAGGGUGGAGGUCCUACGGUGGAAAUGAGUUUGGCUUAGGAACAGAUUCAAGUAUAUCUCAAAUAACUGAAAACUGUGAAAUUAACAUCAAAAGUAUUUGGAAGGCUAGAAGCUAGGCUGAUAUGUAGAAAUAAAACCCAGCCUCAGGAAGGAGCUGAGCCAGACUCAAAAACAAGGGGGGCAGCAAAGAGUGGUGGAUUCUGGGCUGGCCUUGCUGGCCACUCACUUGUCAGGGUGGGGUGGGUCAGCUGGCUUAAAUGUGCAGCUGGACAGACAGCUGCUGUUUCACUGCAUUGUCUCACUGCAUCUGUCUUCAUUAUCUGCAUCCUAUUUUGUGUUUCUUGGGCCAAUGUUUCCCAUCUCAGCUAGAGAUAU
This 1074-nucleotide long non-coding RNA is filed under the name Homo sapiens (human). Its description in RNAcentral is "non-protein coding LINC02550:13". The record is from RNAcentral. Lineage: Eukaryota; Metazoa; Chordata; Mammalia; Primates; Hominidae.